This 775-nucleotide ribosomal RNA is filed under the name Justitia longimana. RNAcentral describes it as "partial 16S rRNA". Lineage: Eukaryota; Metazoa; Arthropoda; Malacostraca; Decapoda; Palinuridae. The record is from RNAcentral.
GAUGAAUCCUUGUUGGUUUUCUUAGAAGGGGAUGGUAAUUAGAAAAAUAAUUUUAAUGGCUGAGAACGUAGUAAUAUUUAGAACUGUAAUAACAAAAACUAAAGGUGAGAAGUAUCGUGCGAGAAAGUUGAAAUAUUCUGAAAAAUUUAAUAAAAAUAAAGUAGCUGUAGAAGUUCGUACCUUGUGUAUCAGGGAUUUUCUAAAUUUUCUAGAAAUGUAGAGGUCUCGAAUAAAGGAUAGUUAGGAAGGAGGGAAAGUUGUAGUAGCAGAUAUAUUUUAAACUCCUUUUUAGUAGUGAUAUAUUAACCGGGCCUUUUAAUAUCUAGUUCUCCCCGAAAUAAAUUAAAUUUAGGAGAGAUCUCUAAAUUCGGAUUUUAUCUAAUGGCAGGAGGUAAAAGCUUCUUGUUAAACGGUAAUAAAAGGGCUAAUGUUAGGUAAGCUAAGCUAGGCUUAGAAGUAGCUAUGUUCAUAAAGUGUUUUUACUAAAGUGUUUUUGUCUAAGAUUUAUGUUUCUUUUAUUGGUGCUAGGGGGGUAUGGGAGUUAUUUUUAAUAUUCCCAGUAAAAAUGAUAUUAUUAGUAGAAGUUGGUGUGAUUUUAAAAAAAUGUGAAAUGAGGAAGUAAUAUAAAAAGCUGGAGUUAUAAGUUAGGAACUCGGCAAAUUUGACCUCCGCCUGUUUACCAAAAACAUGUCUUUGUGGUUUUAAUAUAAAGUCUGACCUGCCCAUUGACUUGAAGUUAAAAGGCCGCGGUAUACUGACCGUGCGAAGGUAGCAU